AGAGCUCAAAUUUAAAAUCUGGCAGUCUAAUCGCUGUCCGAGUUGUAAAUUAGAGAAGUGCUAUCCGUUCUGGCCUGUGCAAAAGUCCCUUGGAAAAGGGCAUCACAGAGGGUGACAAUCCCGUCUUUGGCACAGAUUCCCAGAGCUUUUGUGAUGCGCUCUCAAUGAGUCGAGUUGUUUGGGAAUGCAGCUCCAAAUGGGUGGUAAAUUCCAUCUAAAGCUAAAUACUGGCGAGAGACCGAUAGCGCA
RNAcentral lists this ribosomal RNA (249 nucleotides) under Hodophilus sp. RNAcentral's name for it is "partial 28S ribosomal RNA". It matches the Rfam family "Eukaryotic large subunit ribosomal RNA", at positions 104 to 344 of the family's 3401-position model. The record is from RNAcentral. Lineage: Eukaryota; Fungi; Basidiomycota; Agaricomycetes; Agaricales; Clavariaceae.